RNAcentral lists this long non-coding RNA (530 nucleotides) under Phasianus colchicus (ring-necked pheasant). RNAcentral describes it as "lncRNA (ENSPCLG00000001314.1)". Lineage: Eukaryota; Metazoa; Chordata; Aves; Galliformes; Phasianidae. The record is from RNAcentral.
GUUUUCCAGUGCUUGCAAAUGUAAGAAACUCUUCUUACUCUUCUUUCUGAGUCAACUGUGAGGUCAGACUCCAGAGAGAUGGAAGAGGAAUCAGACAAGCAGGGUCAUGGGCUGCAGACACAUUGAGGAGCAGCUGAGGUGCUUCUUCUGGCCAAGUGAUAAUGACAAAGAGCAGUCCCAGGUCUGUGGGAAGCAGCUGUCCAAGCAGGAAAUGUGUGCCCUAACUGCAGCCUCCUGUGUUGCAUUGGCACAUUAUGCUGCUUGGGCUGUCCAGCCAGGAAGAGGAAAUAAUGUGGCUUCUUGAUGAGCUGCAAAUCCUAUCAGCUAAUAUCUGAUGAACUGCUGAGAGUUUUCUGUAAUGAGUCAAUAUGAAGCAUUUGUGCCAGUUGAGAUCUGCCUGCAUAAUUUAAUAGCUAUUUGUAUAAGUACUGGUUAGCACAAAGAUUGGGCCCAGAUGACAUGACAGUAAAGUUAAAUACAUAUAUGAUCCCUUAAAAUUGUAAUAAAUACUUCCAUAAAAUUUUUGUCCA